CAAAUAGGAAGAGCUGCGGUCUGCAGCGCCCAGCUUGAUCAACGCAGAAGACAGAGGCUUGGAGACCAGCAAAUAUCAAUUUACUGCUACCCUGGGGCACAAGGCAAGGAGCCACCUGUACACUCCACUGCCAACAAACCAGACUCAAGCUUCUACUCUGGCUGAGUUACUUCUUUGGAAAUUUGGAGACAGCAAGAGGUUGACAACAGAUUUGCUCCUUUUCUGGUGGAGGGAGGACAAGUGGCCUCUCUGGGACCAUAUCACAAACUACUAAAUCAAAAAAAUCUGGAAUUCCCGCAUUGCCCAGCUCACAGUGGAGAAAUAAAUAGACCACUGGAUCAGAAGGCAGAACAUAUGGAUUCUGGCCCAAAAUGGACAGUCUGUUAGCCAAUAUCUGGGUUCCAGUGUCAACAUUUGUAAAAUAGGGGCUAAUCUUUCACAUGACAGACACGAAAUGUUUUUGAAAAGAAUGAAUUAAGUGAUGGAGUCAAGUGAUCUGUAUGGCAUGAGAGAACAUCAUUCUUAUAGUCAUUAUUACAACUCAGCCCUAUAAGUCCUAUUACAAUUAAUCCUGUAAGAACCAUUAGGAGUACCCACCAUAAGCCUCAGAAAAUGCCUUAUAACUGUACUGCCAGCACCCCCACAGCCUUGCUGGUCAGUGGCAACAGCAAAGUCGAAAUGCAACAUACACGUGUGAUUUGUUGGGCAUCUGAAUUGUGGGUGAAGAUCAUUUUGUUAUAACAAGGUUUACACCAAAAAACAAUCAAUUUCACAAAUAAAUAAAACAUUUUUGAGAAUCAGAAGGCAGAACUACAUUUCAAGGUUGCUCUACUGAGCCUGAGACUCUACCCGGAGUUACUGGAUCUCAGCCUGUAAUGAAUGAAAAAUUGUCCUGCUCCUUCCUUGCUGAGGAUGACGCUGAAAGACCACACCAAAGGAUGCAUGAGCUGAUUCACGCAGAGCCAGAGGGAGGAGCAAAUUAUCCAGAAAUAGCACUGCAGUCUGGUAUGCCAGUUUUGCUCCAGGCUUCACAUAGGCCGUUCUGUCCACAGUGCCCUCAGACAGUGGCUCUCCUCUGUGCUACCCACUCCUCUGCAGUGACCACAGCUCACCUUUCUCAGCCCUAUAAAACUGGAACCUUGACCUGUAAAUGGCAGAGCCAGGACUGGAAUCCAGGUCCAUCUACUUCCAAAGGAUCAUAACACCUUCCCAGUCUAUAAUUGGCUCCCGCUACAAGGGCCCAGACCCUCAGGGAUCCAGUUAGAGUCAACAGGACUUUGUGUGCAAAAGGAACUAUAUCUUAUUCUCUUUAAUCAAUCCUUGCCUUCAGCCACCUGGCCUUUCUGUGUUUCCAGAAUGCGGGCUUGUACUUGGAAAGGGAAGCCCUAAGGCUGCCCCCAGUCUAAAGAGGGCAUAAGGCUAGACUGGCCUGGGUAGUUUCACUCUUUCGUCAGGUGAAGAACCUUUUUCCUUUCCUCAGAAGUUCCAACUCCAAGAAAAAAAAAUCGAUUGAAAACACGUUCAAAAAAAAACUUAGUUUUAUUUUUUUCGUCAGGAGAUGUUUUCAAAAAAAUUCUGCUUGUCUGAUUUUGUAUUAGAAAGUAGGAGCAUAAACAAUGAUUUUUACAAGCCAUAAUAAUCGGUAACGUUUAUAAGCACUUUUUUAGUUCAGGUGCCAUAAUUUAUGCUAAGUGAUUUCCAUAAAUUGUCUCAAAUAAAUAAAUAAUCUGCAUAACAUUCUUCAUCCCUAUUUUACAGAUGAGAGACUGAGGCUUAGAGUAAUUUACCCAAGAUCGCACAGUAGGGGGUGCAGCUGAAAUUCCAAAGCCCCCAUACCACUCACAGCCCCACACUGGCUAUAUAGGCUCCAGGAUUCCUUCUCCAGAACCUACUAAAUAGCCUUUUAAAAAUUCCCUUUCUGAGAUAAAAAAGAAAUGUGGUAUACACAUACAAUGGAAUAUUAUUCAGUCAUUGAAAGGAAUGAAGUUUUGAUACAUGCUAUAACGCAGAUAAACCUUGAAGAUAUUAUGCUAAGUAAGCCAGAUACAAAAGAAUAAAUGUUGUAUAAUUCCACUUAUAUAAAAUAUCUAAAAUAAGCAAAUUCAUAGAAAAAGUAGAAUAUAGGUUACCAGGGGAUGAGGGUAUGGGGGCAUGGGAAAUUACUUUUUAAUUGGUACAGUUUCUGUUGGAGUAAUAAAACACUUCUUGAAAAUAGUAUUGAUGGUUGUACAACAUUAUGAAUGUAAUUAAUGCCAAUGAAUUAUACAUUUAAAAA
RNAcentral lists this long non-coding RNA (2275 nucleotides) under Homo sapiens (human). Its description in RNAcentral is "HSALNT0172137". The record is from RNAcentral. Lineage: Eukaryota; Metazoa; Chordata; Mammalia; Primates; Hominidae.